UACGGAGGGUGCGAGCGUUGUUCGGAAUCAUUGGGCGUAAAGGGCGCGUAGGUGGCGGGACAAGCGUGCGGUGAAAGCUCGGGGCUCAACCCCGCGUCGGCCGUGCGAACUGUUUUGCUUGAGCACUGUAGAGGCAGGCGGAAUUCCGGGUGUAGCGGUGGAAUGCGUAGAGAUCCGGAAGAACACCGGUGGCGAAGGCGGCCUGCUGGGCAGUAGCUGACACUGAGGCGCGACAGCGUGGGGAGCAAACAGG
RNAcentral lists this ribosomal RNA (253 nucleotides) under uncultured bacterium. RNAcentral describes it as "partial 16S ribosomal RNA". It matches the Rfam family "Bacterial small subunit ribosomal RNA", at positions 524 to 776 of the family's 1533-position model. The record is from RNAcentral.